UCGGAAGAGUAGACAAAGAGAGGGCUCAUAGGAUCAAUAGAUGAAGCACUAUUAGGAUUCAUAUUUAACAUCAGAAACAACAGUGAAGUAGAAAUCGAUUCAAUCUCUGCGAGCAAUUCAACACACUAGAUUUUUCACCAAAACACAUGCAAAAUUCCUAACAAAAGGGAGAAUAGGAUUAACAGACUUCUUCGCUAUCGGAGAAGAACGGCCUUCAAAUAUACAGAGAAAACCCUAGCUCCGAACAGAGAAAACCCUAGCUCCGAGGGAUGUAAAUCCAACGCUUGUGAAUCCGUCGGAAUCAAGCACGAGAGAUGUCGGAAAUCUACCCAAAACACCAAACUUAGGACAAUGUUAACAAACGAUACUAAAGGAAAACUCCGAUUCACCAGCUAACUGAAAACGCACAGAAACUCGAAUCAAUGGUGAGACCUCAACAAUACUGAACCGGAUCAACGAAGAAUAGAGAGGAGGCGACCCGAAAAACCUUGCUCUGAUACCAUGAAAACAUGGAAGAUCGAGAGAAGGAAACCCUUUUCAUUUUCGUUUAGAGAGAGGGAGAGACAAUGAGAGUUC
Molecule: long non-coding RNA, 576 nt
Filed under: Nicotiana benthamiana
Lineage: Eukaryota; Viridiplantae; Streptophyta; Magnoliopsida; Solanales; Solanaceae
Description: long non-coding RNA (NBEN_LNC028276)
Source: RNAcentral